ACGGGAAACCGGAGCUAAUACCGAUAAUAUAUUGAACCGCAUGGUUCAAUAGUGAAAGACGGUUUUGCUGUCACUUAUAGAUGGAUCCGCGCUGCAUUAGCUAGUUGGUAAGGUAACGGCUUACCAAGGCAACGAUGCGUAGCCGACCUGAGAGGGUGAUCGGCCACACUGGAACUGAGACACGGUCCAGACUCCUACGGGAGGCAGCAGAC
RNAcentral lists this ribosomal RNA (212 nucleotides) under uncultured Staphylococcus sp. RNAcentral's name for it is "partial 16S ribosomal RNA". It matches the Rfam family "Bacterial small subunit ribosomal RNA", at positions 149 to 354 of the family's 1533-position model. The record is from RNAcentral. Lineage: Bacteria; Bacillati; Bacillota; Bacilli; Caryophanales; Staphylococcaceae.